GAUGAACGCUGGCGGCGUGCCUAAUACAUGCAAGUAGAACGCUGAAGCUUGGUGCUUGCACCGAGCGGAUGAGUUGCGAACGGGUGAGUAACGCGUAGGUAACCUGCCUCUUAGCGGGGGAUAACUAUUGGAAACGAUAGCUAAUACCGCAUAAAAGUCGACAUUGCAUGAUGUUGACUUGAAAGGUGCAAUUGCAUCACUAAGAGAUGGACCUGCGUUGUAUUAGCUAGUUGGUGAGGUAACGGCUCACCAAGGCGACGAUACAUAGCCGACCUGAGAGGGUGAUCGGCCACACUGGGACUGAGACACGGCCCAGACUCCUACGGGAGGCAGCAGUAGGGAAUCUUCGGCAAUGGGGGCAACCCUGACCGAGCAACGCCGCGUGAGUGAAGAAGGUUUUCGGAUCGUAAAGCUCUGUUGUAAGUCAAGAACGAGUGUGAGAGUGGAAAAUUCACACUGUGACGG
RNAcentral lists this ribosomal RNA (465 nucleotides) under Streptococcus parasanguinis. RNAcentral describes it as "bacterial SSU rRNA". It matches the Rfam family "Bacterial small subunit ribosomal RNA", at positions 28 to 475 of the family's 1533-position model. Lineage: Bacteria; Bacillati; Bacillota; Bacilli; Lactobacillales; Streptococcaceae. The record is from RNAcentral.